UGGGGAAUAUUGCACAAUGGGCGAAAGCCUGAUGCAGCAACGCCGCGUGAGUGAUGAAGGCCUUCGGGUUGUAAAGUUCUGUCUUCUGGGACGAUAAUGACGGUACCAGAGGAGGAAGCCACGGCUAACUACGUGCCAGCAGCCGCGGUAAUACGUAGGUGGCAAGCGUUGUCCGGAUUUACUGGGCGUAAAGGAUGCGUAGGCGGAUACUUAAGUCAGAUGUGAAAAUCCCGGGCUUAACUUGGGAACUGCAUUUGAAACUGGGUAUCUAGAGUGCGGGAGAGGAAAGUGGAAUUCCUAGUGUAGCGGUGAAAUGCGUAGAGAUUAGGAAGAACACCAGUGGCGAAGACGACUUUCUGGACCGUAACUGACGCUGAGGCAUGAAAGCGUGGGGAGCAAACA
RNAcentral lists this ribosomal RNA (402 nucleotides) under uncultured bacterium. RNAcentral describes it as "bacterial SSU rRNA". It matches the Rfam family "Bacterial small subunit ribosomal RNA", at positions 355 to 774 of the family's 1533-position model. The record is from RNAcentral.